Molecule: long non-coding RNA, 751 nt
Organism: Ahaetulla prasina
Lineage: Eukaryota; Metazoa; Chordata; Lepidosauria; Squamata; Colubridae
Exons: 3
Source: RefSeq, a predicted model, not a curated record
UUUCGGAGGAUACAUAACAACUGCCACUAGGUCACAGAACAUCACUCAGAGAGAGCGCAGCAAAAGCAGCAUUGCGAAGAAAAAGAUUUAUCCAACAAAAUGAAGAUUGUAAUUGUUCUUGCCUGUCUUUUGGCCAUCAUUGUUCCCUCUGAGACCAGCAGUAGUGGAAGUGGAAGCAGUGAACAAAGGAGAUACAGAGUUUAUCCAUUCCAAAACCCAGCUUCAAACUUUGGCUUUAUAAAUCCUUCUUACUAUCAACAGGAUAUAAUCAACGCUUUAAUAAGGGCUUUAGUAGCUGUCAGAUCAGUAAAUAAUGCUCCUUCAGGAGCCCCAGUGCCAUGGCCUUUCCCAGCGCCCAGGCCUCCCCCAGCGCCCAGGCCUCCCCCAGCACCCAUGCCUCCCCCAGCGCCAAUGCCAGGUAUUAUAUCAUCUAUCUUUAAUAAAAUAGCUGGCUUUUUUGGGUUGGGGAAGUAGUACCAAUGGGGAGGGAGGAAGGGGAAUGAGAGGAACCAGAAGUAUCCAUUCGGAAUGAAUUGGCCGACCAAGGAUGGAGCUGUGAGAAUGGAAUAUGAAACUCCGUCAAAGAGGCACCAAACCUCAAAGCCAUUCCCAAAACAUCUAAAAUGAAAUCUAUUGGACACUGAUGGACUGGUCAAGGGGAGAAGGCCAGAGAAGAGGGGGAAAUGCAGGCUUUGCAUGGGAAUAUUCUGAUCCAGCUUUGCUUAUGCUGUAACUGCUUGAACUUAGUAAA